AGAUAAAGAACCAAUAUUUUUGGUGACUCAUAAUAACUUUACGGAUCACAUUUUUGUGACAUAUCAUUCAAGUUUCUGACCUAUCAGCUUUAGACGGUAGGGUAUUGGCCUACCGUGGCUAUGACGGGUAACGGGGAAUUAGGGUUCGAUUCCGGAGAGGGAGCCUGAGAAACGGCUACCACAUCUAAGGAAGGCAGCAGGCGCGCAAAUUACCCAAUCCUAAUACAGGGAGGUAGUGACAAGAAAUAACAAUACAGGGCCUAACGGUCUUGUAAUUGGAAUGAGUUAAGUAUAAACCCCUUUACAAGUAUCAAUUGGAGGGCAAGUCUGGUGCCAGCAGCCGCGGUAAUUCCAGCUCCAAUAGCGUAUAUUAAAGUUGUUGCAGUUAAAAAGCUCGUAGUUGGAUUUCUGUUAAUUCUUAUAUUUUAUACUACGGUAUUUAUAUAACAUUAACAUAAUUCAUAUUACUUUUUUAGUAUAUGAAAUUUUACUUUGAGAAAAUUAGAGUGCUUAAAGCAGGCAUUUGCCUUGAAUACUCCAGCAUGGAAUAAUAUUUAAGAUUUUUAUCUUUCUUAUUGGUUCUAAGAUAAAAAUAAUGAUUAAUAGGGACAGUUGGGGGCAUUUGUAUUUAACAGUCAGAGGUGAAAUUCUUAGAUUUGUUAAAGACAAACUACUGCGAAAGCAUUUGCCAAGGAUGUUUUCAUUAAUCAAGAACGAAAGUUAGGGGAUCGAAGACGAUCAGAUACCGUCGUAGUCUUAACCAUAAACUAUGCCAACUAGAGAUUGGAGGUUGUUCCUUACU
Molecule: ribosomal RNA, 802 nt
Filed under: Cryptosporidium ducismarci
Lineage: Eukaryota; Apicomplexa; Conoidasida; Eucoccidiorida; Cryptosporidiidae
Description: SSU rRNA
Rfam family: Eukaryotic small subunit ribosomal RNA
Source: RNAcentral